This 468-nucleotide ribosomal RNA is filed under the name uncultured bacterium. RNAcentral describes it as "partial 16S ribosomal RNA". It matches the Rfam family "Bacterial small subunit ribosomal RNA", at positions 28 to 507 of the family's 1533-position model. The record is from RNAcentral.
GACGAACGCUGGCGGCGUGCUUAACACAUGCAAGUCGAACGGAAAGGCCCUGCUUUUGUGGGGUGCUCGAGUGGCGAACGGGUGAGUAACACGUGAGUAACCUGCCCUUGACUUUGGGAUAACUUCAGGAAACUGGGGCUAAUACCGGAUAGGAGCUCCUGCUGCAUGGUGGGGGUUGGAACGUUUCGGCGGUUGGGGAUGGACUCGCGGCUUAUCAGCUUGUUGGUGGGGUAGUGGCUUACCAAGGCAUUGACGGGUAGCCGGCCUGAGAGGGUGACCGGCCACAUUGGGACUGAGAUACGGCCCAGACUCCUACGGGAGGCAGCAGUGGGGAAUAUUGCACAAUGGGCGGAAGCCUGAUGCAGCAACGCCGCGUGCGGGAUGACGGCCUUCGGGUUGUAAACCGCUUUCGCCUGUGACGAAGCGUGAGUGACGGUAAUGGGUAAAGAAGCACCGGCUAACUACGUG